Molecule: unclassified non-coding RNA, 343 nt
Filed under: soil metagenome
Description: partial contains 5.8S ribosomal RNA, internal transcribed spacer 2, and large subunit ribosomal RNA
Rfam family: 5.8S ribosomal RNA (bases 1-120)
Source: RNAcentral
GAUGAAGAACGUAGCGAAAUGCGAUACUUGGUGUGAAUUGCAGAAUCCAGUGAAUCAUCGAAUCUUUGAACGCACAUUGCGCCCGCCAGCAUUCUGGCGGGCAUGCCUGUUCGAGCGUCAUUUCAACCCUCGACCUCCCUUUGGGGAAGUCGGCGUUGGGGACCGGCAGCACACCGCCGGCCCUGAAAUGGAGUGGCGGCCCGUCCGCGGCGACCUCUGCGUAGUAAACCAACUCGCACCGGAACCCCGACGUGGCCACGCCGUAAAACACCCAACUUCUGAACGUUGACCUCGAAUCAGGUAGGACUACCCGCUGAACUUAAGCAUAUCAAUAAGCGGAGGA